GUCAUAAAAUGAGCCCAAGCACAGCUCCCAAGCAGAGAGAAGAAGCCCUGGCAGAGCUUCUCACAGCCCUUGUCAUAGCAGCCUGAGUCAGUGUCACCACUACCCCAAGUCUGCAGAUGGGGAGGGAAUAGAAUAAAUCCUGGAUGGAAGAGCAGACCUGCCCUUAAAAACAUAGAUUGACAGGGAAACAGAGACAGAUUUGCCCAGCAGGAAGAUGUCAGUUGGUGACAACAAUGCUACCUGAGGAGGGAGGUCUGCCCAGCUGAGAGUUCCCACAGGGCUUACUGGCAGCUCACCAUCAAGCAUAAAGUGUGGGGCUUUAAGAACAAUAAGAACCUAUAAAGAAUCUCUAAGAUUUCCAAAUGCCUCUUUCUCCAGCCAGCUCAGCCUUGAAAUUGCUAAGACCCAUUCCAGCAGCAAGGUAUGAAGCCAUAAAUAAGUUUGGUUUAUUACUGGUCUUAUGGUUAAUAAUUACUGCAGUUUGGGCAAACAGCAGUAGUAGGCCCCACUAACAAGUUCUGCCUGGGCUUGUGCUGAGUUUCUGCCAGUUCCCCGUACAGAUACUAAUAAAGCUCAUGAGGUAUUACAAUUGUCUCAUUCCUUCAAACAUUUAUUGAUUUAAAUCAUUUAGUUCUCAGUUGCAGCAGACACUGGGGAACUGAUGGUAAAUCAUACCAACUCUGGUACUUGAGUUGGCUGUAAAUUUACCACAUCUGGUAGAAUUGAGCUGGCUAUAAAUUCUUUUAGUGAUCCUAAAGCUUGGCUGGCUGUGGAAAAGACUGCAGGUGUUGUGCUGCCUUAUGUCUGAAGCCGUGCUGGGAGUCAGAGAGCCUUUCUGUGCUUAUUUCUCAUUUAGACUCAGUGUGGCAGAGCCCCUCCCAAGCAUUAGGGUUCUCCUGUGCCAUUCACUUUAAAAGAGCCCUACACCAACAAAAGGUGAGGGUCAAGAUCAACAUCAAACACAGCUUCAAUCUCCUCUCCAUCAGAAUUCCAUGCAGAGCAGCUCUGCGAGCAUUGGUUCCAUUCUGACUAAGAUUUACACCACGGUGCCUUCAGGAAUGUAAAAGUAAAUCUCAGCUCUGUGAAAUGUAACCUUACCUCCAGAUGCAUAAAUUUCCCACCUCCAGUGAAUGAAAUGAGAACAGGUGCUUGGAUAGAUGAUCAUAUGAAGCUGCUGGAUUCAAAUGAGACAGAGGAACUGUGAAGUCUCCCCCCCCUCAUGAAUUCUGUGUGAAGUGAUAGUUUAUCCUGGAGAAUCCCAUUGAACCAAUACAACUUCAUUACUUUGAGGCAGGUGUUGAAACCAUCUGAGAACGGGUGGUGAAGUGCAACCAUAAAAGCAGAUGAGAAAAGUGAUCUCCUCACCUCUCCUCCAUCCGAGAACAUGGGGCAGGACCAGCAGGGCAGAGCUAGCUUAAAUGAAUUUCUCGGUGAAGAUGCACCUAUUGGGUAGCGUUACCUGAAAAUACAGUGCAGCAUUCUAGACUCUCCUUUCCCAAAUCUGCAGCAUUAGAAACAUAACAAUCUCUUGCUUUUUGCUGAUCGCAAAAUGUUUCGGGGGGUCAAGGGUUUUUUGGUCUAGGUUUUAACUAGUCCAUCGGUCACUGUGCAUAUUUGGUCCUCCCUCAAACUGUGUUAGGAAUAAAGCAGUGUUAACCAUUCACAAGUAACGACGAAUUGAAAUUUGGGGGGUUGAGAAUGCAUUUUCUGUGAAAGAGAAGAAAUUUCUAUAGCCUGUCUUGUGCAAUAUUAUAAUAUCAAAUAAAGGCACAAAUCUGAUUCUAUUCUCCUUUAUUGGAUUUGGGU
Molecule: long non-coding RNA, 1806 nt
Organism: Empidonax traillii (willow flycatcher)
Lineage: Eukaryota; Metazoa; Chordata; Aves; Passeriformes; Tyrannidae
Exons: 3
Source: RefSeq, a predicted model, not a curated record